AUAUCUCUCUGUACGGGAAGGAUGAGAAGCUUCGACUAAGGUUCGAUUCGAGCGAAAGCGAGAAAGCGUGCCGCAGGCAACGACCCGAAGGGCGAAACGCGCAGCGCUGAGUCAUCCUUCCCCCACCACCA
RNAcentral lists this small RNA (131 nucleotides) under Salmonella enterica subsp. enterica. RNAcentral describes it as "RtT sRNA". It matches the Rfam family "RtT RNA". From Rfam's summary of the family: This family represents a bacterial cis-regulatory element known as RtT RNA. Lineage: Bacteria; Pseudomonadati; Pseudomonadota; Gammaproteobacteria; Enterobacterales; Enterobacteriaceae. The record is from RNAcentral.